UGAAGUUUUCUAAUGUGAUCACCGAGUUUGUUAGAGGGCCAAAUACGAAGCGUGGAUAAUGGAUCGAUCGACGAUUACUGUGGGGCCUGCUAUGGACAUGCCGAUCAUGCACGAUAGUGACCGGUACGAUUUUGUCCGGGAUAUUGGGUCGGGGAACUUCGGGGUUGCCAGACUGAUGAGAGAUAAGGUCACCAAGGAGCUUGUUGCUGUGAAGUAUAUCGAGAGAGGUGAUAAGAUUGAUGAAAAUGUUCAAAGAGAAAUUAUUAAUCACAGGUCCCUCAGGCAUCCCAACAUUGUGAGGUUUAAAGAGGUCAUUUUAACUCCUACCCAUCUGGCCAUUGUGAUGGAAUAUGCCUCUGGGGGAGAGCUUUUCGAGAAAAUAUGCAAUGCUGCACGUUUCAGUGAGGAUGAGGCUCGAUUCUUUUUUCAACAACUCAUAUCGGGGGUUAGCUAUUGCCAUGCUAUGCAAGUAUGUCACCGUGAUUUGAAGUUGGAGAACACUUUACUGGAUGGAAGUGAGGCUCCUCGUUUGAAGAUUUGUGAUUUUGGGUACUCCAAGUCUUCAGUGCUUCAUUCACAGCCAAAAUCAACAGUAGGAACUCCUGCAUACAUUGCGCCUGAGGUGUUGUUGAGGCAAGAAUACGAUGGCAAGAUUGCAGAUGUGUGGUCAUGUGGGGUAACCUUAUAUGUGAUGCUGGUUGGAGCAUAUCCCUUUGAGGAUCCUGAUGAGCCAAAAGACUUCAGGAAGACAAUACAGAGGAUUCUUAAUGUC
RNAcentral lists this unclassified non-coding RNA (772 nucleotides) under Hevea brasiliensis (rubber tree). Lineage: Eukaryota; Viridiplantae; Streptophyta; Magnoliopsida; Malpighiales; Euphorbiaceae. The record is from RNAcentral.